GAUGAACGCUGGCGGCGUGCCUAAUACAUGCAAGUCGAACGAAACUUCUUUAUCACCGAGUGCUUGCACUCACCGAUAAAGAGUUGAGUGGCGAACGGGUGAGUAACACGUGGGCAACCUGCCCAAAAGAGGGGGAUAACACUUGGAAACAGGUGCUAAUACCGCAUAACCAUAGUUACCGCAUGGUAACUAUGUAAAAGGUGGCUAUACUACCGCUUUUGGAUGGGCCCGCGGCGCAUUAGCUAGUUGGUAGGGUAAAGGCUUACCAAGGCAAUGAUGCGUAGCCGAAUUGAGAGGUUGAUCGGCCACAUUGGGACUGAGACACGGCCCAAACUCCUACGGGAGGCAGCAGUAGGGAAUCUUCCACAAUGGGCGAAGCCUGAUGGAGCAACGCCGCGUGGGUGAAGAAGGUCUUCGGAUCGUAAAACCCUGUUGUUAGAGAAGAAAGUGCGUGAGAGUAACUGUUCACGUUUCGACGGUAUCUAACCAGAAAGCCACGGCUAACUACGU
Molecule: ribosomal RNA, 510 nt
Filed under: uncultured bacterium
Lineage: Bacteria
Description: partial 16S ribosomal RNA
Rfam family: Bacterial small subunit ribosomal RNA
Source: RNAcentral